AUCGCUCUUUUCUUCCGGCUUCCUCUGCGAUUUGGAAGUCGCCACCGUGUAUCGCGCAGGCGCCCACCACGGCAGCACUCCUGCCGGUCCACCGCCUCGCCGCUUCUGCCUCGCGCUCUCGCACAACCUCGCCAGUCACCUCGCGCCCUUGCACAACCUCGCCAGUCGCCUCGACACCAGCCACCACUCCCACCAGGUUUGGCCUUCUUCAGUUCUUCGACUCUUCCAUUACUAAUGAACAUCAACUUCUCACAAUCUAUCCCUUGAAUUAUAAAUGUCAAUUUCAAUAAUUUAUUCAAUUGUUUGCCUAAUUUUCUUAAUUUUUUGUUUGCCCUAAUUUCUCUAAUUUUGUUUUUGCUUAAUUUCCCUAAUUUUGAAGUUACCCUAAUAAGCCUUAUUGGCUAAUUCAAUUGCUACUAUAGUUUUUUUCCUAAUUGCACUAAUUUUGUGAUUUUUUUUUUUUUUUAAUUUUGAUAUGAUUCACUGAUGCACUGUGGAUUACUGGAUUAUGCUUAUGAGUUUUUAAUUUGGCUGAUUCACUGUGGAUUACCGGCAGAUCAUAUGGUACAAUACGAUGAGGAGUUGAAGCUUCCAAGACAUACCUUGUUUCUCUCCCAAAACUUGACAGAGCUUCUGUGAAACGGUUAAAUUUGGACAUAAAGCAACCCUAUAUUGAAACAUGCAAGGCUGAUGAUCAAGCUGCCAAGGUGAUAAUGGCUCCAUGAUUGUUUGUCUUCUUCUUUGGGAUUCUCUAAACAUUUAGUUUGAGAUCAUGAAUCUUUAAUGAUUUUAGUUGAAUAGUUGAUGUAUACAUUGUUAGAACUUAUUAUCUAGUGAUUUAUGUUCAAGCCAAUUGAAGGCAUAUAAUAUGUUUGUUUUGAUAA
This is a long non-coding RNA of Ipomoea nil (Japanese morning glory), 884 nucleotides long. RefSeq lists it as uncharacterized. The transcript has 3 exons. The record is from RefSeq and is a predicted model, not a curated record. NCBI's taxonomy places the organism in Eukaryota, Viridiplantae, Streptophyta, Magnoliopsida, Solanales, Convolvulaceae.